GCGGCAUGCUUAACACAUGCAAGUCGCACGGAUCUUUCGGGAUCAGUGGCGGACGGGUGAGUAACGCGUAGGGAUCUAUCCAUGGGUGGGGGACAACUCCGGGAAACUGGAGCUAAUACCGCAUGAUACCUGAGGGUCAAAGGCGCAAGUCGCCUGUGGAGGAACCUGCGUUCGAUUAGCUAGUUGGUGGGGUAAAGGCCUACCAAGGCGAUGAUCGAUAGCUGGUUUGAGAGGAUGAUCAGCCACACUGGGACUGAGACACGGCCCAGACUCCUACGGGAGGCAGCAGUGGGGAAUAUUGGACAAUGGGCGAAAGCCUGAUCCAGCAAUGCCGCGUGUGUGAAGAAGGUCUUCGGAUUGUAAAGCACUUUCGACGGGGACGAUGAUGACGGUACCCGUAGAAGAAGCCCCGGCUAACUUCGUGCCAGCAGCCGCGGUAAUACGAAGGGGGCUAGCGUUGCUCGGAAUGACUGGGCGUAAAGGGCGCGUAGGCGGUUUAUGCAGUCAGAUGUGAAAUCCCCGGGCUUAACCUGGGAACUGCAUUUGAGACGCAUAGACUAGAGGUCGAGAGAGGGUUGUGGAAUUCCCAGU
RNAcentral lists this ribosomal RNA (591 nucleotides) under Gluconobacter cerinus. Its description in RNAcentral is "bacterial SSU rRNA". It matches the Rfam family "Bacterial small subunit ribosomal RNA", at positions 39 to 674 of the family's 1533-position model. The record is from RNAcentral. Lineage: Bacteria; Pseudomonadati; Pseudomonadota; Alphaproteobacteria; Acetobacterales; Acetobacteraceae.